Molecule: long non-coding RNA, 927 nt
Filed under: Cyanistes caeruleus (blue tit)
Lineage: Eukaryota; Metazoa; Chordata; Aves; Passeriformes; Paridae
Description: lncRNA (ENSCCEG00000017586.1)
Source: RNAcentral
GAAACCUAUUUUGAUGCUUUCUCCAUCAACCUACCAACUUAACACCACUUUUAAACAAAAAGGAAUGCAACCAGCUUGACAUUUAUCAAGAUAGCUUGGAGACAACAAAUAUGUUGCAAGCCUGAAGACAGGUGCAUUACCACUAAGAAGGGUUUUGUUAUGAAUGUUCUCAUUACAGUGUGUCAUGGAUAACUAACAGCAUAGAGUUUGUGCCUUGAGGUUCAGCUUUGCUGUUGUUAUAUUGCUGUCACAUGAUUUUAUGCUAAUCUUUUAGAUUAAAUGGUAAAUAUAAAAGUCUUUAUUCAAUUAACAAAGAAGUAGUCAUUAAAAGAUGGUGAUUGAAAUAAAAUGGUGAGAAAUAUUAUCCUCUUAAAUAAGAAAUUGCUGCAUGAGUGGACACAAGCAGUACAGGAAGGGAUGGAAUAAAGCUGAAAAAGAGAAAAAGCAAUACCAAGACAUGCCUCAGCUCUCUGUUUGGAAGGAACUUUUGAUAAGAAACUGGUCAGCCAUUCUGAGAGUGGUGGAAAGCCUGUCAAGGUCACUGCCAAGGACAAGAGAGUCAAUUAGUAUGCAGAUCAGAGCCAAGGAGUUCAAAGGUGUGAUGGCAGAUUAAAUCCAUGACAGGAAACAGUGAUAAUGCCCACUGUAGAGCCAUGUGGUGUAAAGGUCCCUAAGAAUGGUACAACUGAAAUGGGAGGAUGAAGAAAUGUAUUGGCUAUGACAAGAAGAAGUAAUUGCUUUUCCUCAAAGGAUCAGAUGUGGUAUAGUUGUUUGAAAAACAAUCUAAACAACAUUUUGUUCACCAUUGAUUUUAAAAGCAUUAAAAUUAGUUUUUAUGCAGCUAUACUCAUUAAGCUUUUAUGUAUACUGUGUAGGGUGAAUAGUUAAGAAGCAAUAAAGCAUUCUGCAGUAAAAUAUACUUUGCCA